CCCGCUGAACUUAAGCAUAUUAAUAAGCGGAGGAAAAGAAACCAACAGGGAUAUUCUCAGUAACGGCGAGUGAAGAGAAUACAGCUCAGCGCUGAAUCUUGUUGCUCGAAAGAGUGAUACGACAUGUAGCGUGAAACUGGCGGCUGUUGAUGUUGUCGAUGCGUGUAAGUCUCCUUGAGCGGGGCUCAGUCCCAGAGAUGGUGCUAGGCCCGUAUCGCGCAUGACAAGUACAGCGACGCCCGCUUGUGGAGAGUCAGGUUGUUUGGGAACACAAUCUAAAGCCGGUGGUACACUCCAUCGAAGGCUAAAUAUGACCACGAGUCCGAUAGCGAACAAGUACCGUGAGGGAAAAUUGAAAAGCACUUUGAAGAGAGAGCGAAAUAGUGCGUGAAACCGCUUAGAGGCAAGCAGAUGGAUUCUCGAAGGUGUGCAUAGGAUUUAUUUCCUAGUUCUCACGCCACCACUGUUGUUGACGUGCACCAUGCGCUGACAUUUGGACGCUUGAGAUUGGGACUCGUGCCUGCUUGAGACGCUCGAUGUUGGACGUGUUGAGUUGUUGUGGCAUGCAAUAAUAGAGCAGAGCAUUUGUCGUCGCUGUAAAGCGCCGACUGUGGCCGCUUGCUGAUGCAUUUUGCCGUUGUGGCGAGGCGCAAGCUUCGACAUGCGGCAUGCGUUGCAAAUCGGCUAUUAGUACCGGCAUGACGACUUUAAGACUCGGUGGCGAGUAGAUGAAAUUCCAUCUAACCCGUCUUGAAACACGGGACCAAGGGA
RNAcentral lists this ribosomal RNA (771 nucleotides) under Echiniscus azoricus. RNAcentral describes it as "partial large subunit ribosomal RNA". It matches the Rfam family "Eukaryotic large subunit ribosomal RNA", at positions 24 to 673 of the family's 3401-position model. The record is from RNAcentral. Lineage: Eukaryota; Metazoa; Tardigrada; Heterotardigrada; Echiniscoidea; Echiniscidae.